This is a long non-coding RNA of Papaver somniferum (opium poppy), 3219 nucleotides long. RefSeq lists it as uncharacterized. The transcript is spliced from 3 exons. Lineage: Eukaryota; Viridiplantae; Streptophyta; Magnoliopsida; Ranunculales; Papaveraceae. The record is from RefSeq and is a predicted model, not a curated record.
UUUUUUUUCAAUGUUUUAGGUAUGAUGUUUGAUGUUAUUGAUUAGAGAUGUUUUUGCAAGAAUCUUCAAAGCUAAUUUACUCUCAGCACUUAUUGAUCUAGAUGGACAUGAAGAUAGGUAUUAAGUUGUUCUGGGAGUUCCAAGCGUUGUGGUAUGACCAUCUCAAACUUAAUGUUCGGGUGAUCUAGAGAUGAUGUAUCUUAUUUCUGUCGUUUUCGAAUGAUUUGGAAAUGAUUUUUUUUAUGGUGUAAUGUUGGGAGAUAUAAUAGAAAUUUUGUGAGACUUCGCAGGAAAGUUUUUCUUUAACAAACGAUCCGUUUUCUAGAAGACGAUUUCAUUUUUUUGUCGUUUAGCGUUGGGAGAUUCAGUACAAAUUUUUUGAGACUUUGUCGAAAAGUUUUUCCUCACCAAACAAUUCGUGUUCCAAUGAUUUAAAAGCUGAUGCUGCAAAUUAUUUGUUUUAUUAAGUUAGGAAGACAGGAGUGUAUUUUUAUCCUGGAAAUUCUCCUUUCUGAAGGUUAGCAGGGCAUUUGGAUACCCUAUAGAUCUUAUCUUGUAAAUUCUCCUUUCCGAAGGUUAGCAGGGCAUUUGGAUACCCUAUAGAUCUUAUCCUGCAAAUUUUAAGUGUAUGUCCUAUAGAUCUUUCUGAAGGUAACUUCUGACCUUCCUCGAGCAAAACCAUAUGGAAGUGGCUUUUUCUUCUUCUAAUGAAAACAUAUUGGCAUGUUUGGUUGGAGAGAAUUGAAUUACUUUCCCAACAAUGAUAGGGAAUAUGAAUAUAAUUCCCCAAAAUUAAGGGAAUUCAAAAUCCAUGGAGAUGGUAGAUUUUGGAUCCCCUCUUCAGAAAUAUGAUCCUUAGUAAUGGAUUUCCUUCCCAAUAUCCAAAGACACCGUAGCAAUCAAAAUUGCCGCCGCAGUGGAGGGGACUAAUGGGUAGGUAAAAUAAUAAGAACUGAUGGUAGGCAUCUCUCAAGGAUAAUAGUAAUUGGAAUGUUUUUCUUGAAGAAAACCUAAUGAUAUUUUUAUGGUAGUCUUGUUAAAAGGCAUUUGCAGAAAAGUUACUGCUCUAAUAAAAAGAUAUCUCCUUUCAAUCUUACGUCAGUUUAAAACACUAAAUAACUUUACUGCUUUGUUAGAUAGGCAUUUGUUGAAAAAAUUAGCAUGUUAAGAUUCACUAAACCAAUAAUUUUUUGAAAUGGGAAAAGAUUUAUUAUUUGUUUUAUUUCAUUGAAAACCGUAAUUUUUUACAUUGAGAACAAGAGUUGUUGUUUUUAAUGCUAGAAAAAUCAAUUUCUAUUAAAAUAAGACAGAACAACACAGUUCCCAAUGAAAUAAAAUACUAAUUCUUUAUUAAACCUUAACAUGUAUACGGGUAUAUAAAUUACCAAAAGCCAAUUAGCAUAUCAAGAUUUUAGAUUUUCUUAAAAUACUCGCAAAACAGUGUCAAUUAUUCAUAAGGAUAUCGACACUAACACUAUAUGGUGAUGUUGGAAGCAUUGGCUAAGAGCAAGGGUUAGCCGAAAGAAUUUUAAUGAUAUGUUUCAAGUCAACACAGUCUUUGAAAUGCUAACAAGUGUUUUUCUUUGACAAACAAAAAGACUUUUACCACUGCAGUACAGUGACAUCUUUAUGUUAACUGGGGUAUUUUUCACUCUUAAUUUCUUGAAGACACAUUAUGCGAAGCUCCCGAGAACCCCCGUCUCAACUCUCGAGAGCUUGCUAGUGGUUCAAAAGAAGAUGCACGUCUUCAACCAUACUUCAAUCUUUCAUUUGAUAUUUAGGCAUAAGCAUCGAGGUAUGUUCAAACUGUUCCCACUUGGACUGAAUUUAUUUUUGAAUUUAGAGAUACAACUUUAUUUAUUUUGAAAUACUCGCAAAACAGUGUAAAUUAUUCAUAAGGAUAUCUACAUCAACAUCUAUAUCGUGUUGUUGGAAGCAUUGGCUAAGAGCAAGGGUUAUGGGAAAGGGUUUUAAUGAUAUGUUUCAACUCCAAACACAAUCUUUGAAAUGCUAACAAGUGUUUUUCUUUAACAGGCAAAAAAACUUUUACCACUGCAGUACAGUGACAUCUUUAUGUUAAUUAGGGUAUUUUUAUCUCUUAAUUUCUUGAAGACAAAUUAUACGAAGCUCCCGAAAACCUCCAUCUCAACUCUCAAGAGCUUGCUAGUGGUUCAAAAGAAGAUGCACGUCUUCAACCAUACUUCAAUAUUUCAUUUGAUAUUCAGGAAUAAACAUCGAGGUAUGUUCAAACUGUUCCCACUUGGACUGAUUUUAUUUUUGAAUUUAGAGAUACAACUUUAUUUAUUUUGAAAUACUCGCAAAACAGUGCCAAUAAUUCAUAAGGAUAUCUACACUAACAUCUACAUCGUGUUGUUGGAAGCAUUGGCUAAGAGCAAGGGUUACGGGAAAGAGUUUUGAUGAUAUGUUUCAACUCUAAACACAGUCUUUGAAAUGUUGACAAGUGAUUUUCUUCGACGGGAAAAAAGACUUUUACUACUGCAGUACAGUGACAUCUUUAUGUUAACGAGGGUAUUUUUUCUCUCUUAAUUUCUUGAAGACACAUUAUGUGAAGCUCCCGAAACCUCCGUCUCAACUCUCAAGAGCUUGCUAGUGGUGCAAAAGAAGAUGCACGUCUUCAACCAUACUUCAAUAUUUCAUUUGAUAUCCAGGCAUAGGCAUCGAGGCAAAAAAACUUUUACCACUGCAGUACAGGGUAUUUUUCUCUCUUAAUUUCUUGAAGACACGUUAUGUGAAGCUCCCGAAAACCUCCGUCUCAACUCUGAAGAGCUUGCUCAUGGUUCAAAAGAAGAUGCACGUCUUCAACCAUACUUCAAUGUUUCAUUUGAUAUUCAGGCAUAGGCUUCGAGGUAUGUUCAAACUGUUCCCACUUGGACUGAAUUUAUUUUUGAUUUUUCCAUGUUUUUAAUGUAUGGUCACCUUGCUAAUUAGAAAGCAGCCAAAAACCCUUCCGUUUACCUAGAAUGAUUGUUUAAACUGCACUGCACUGGACAGCAUAUCUUUAGAUAUUGGAAGUUUGAAACAUGAGUCACAUAACCAUAUGAAUGAUGCUGGGAGUGAAAUACUCGUUGGUUAAGAAGCGGCAGCACAAUCCUGUCAAUUCUGAGAGGUUUUUGUAUAAACUUCUAUGGAACCAUGUAUGGUGUUCAAGAGAUGUAUACUAUAUUAUAUACAAAUAUCAAUUACAAUGCUCUUGAACUA